Molecule: ribosomal RNA, 469 nt
Filed under: uncultured Comamonadaceae bacterium
Lineage: Bacteria; Pseudomonadati; Pseudomonadota; Betaproteobacteria; Burkholderiales; Comamonadaceae
Description: bacterial SSU rRNA
Rfam family: Bacterial small subunit ribosomal RNA
Source: RNAcentral
UCCUACGGGUGGCUGCAGUGGGGAAUUUUGGACAAUGGGCGCAAGCCUGAUCCAGCAAUGCCGCGUGCGGGAAGAAGGCCUUCGGGUUGUAAACCGCUUUUGUACGGAACGAAAAGGCGCUGGCUAAUACCUGGGGCUGAUGACGGUACCGUAAGAAUAAGCACCGGCUAACUACGUGCCAGCAGCCGCGGUAAUACGUAGGGUGCGAGCGUUAAUCGGAAUUACUGGGCGUAAAGGGUGCGCAGGCGGUCUUUGAAGACAGAGGUUGAAUCCCUGGGCUCAACCUAGGAAUGGCCUUUGUGACUGCAAGGCUGGAGUGCGGCAGAGGUGGAUGGAAUUCCGCGUGUAGCAGUGAAAUGCGUAGAUAUGCGGAGGAACACCGAUGGCGAAGGCAGUCCCCUGGGCCUGCACUGACGCUCAUGCACGAAAGCGUGGGGAGCAAACAGGAUUAGAUACCCGAGUAGUCUGA